AUUGAACGCUGGCGGCAGGCCUAACACAUGCAAGUCGAGCGGAUGAAGGGAGCUUGCUCCUGGAUUCAGCGGCGGACGGGUGAGUAAUGCCUAGGAAUCUGCCUGGUAGUGGGGGAUAACGUCCGGAAACGGGCGCUAAUACCGCAUACGUCCUGAGGGAGAAAGUGGGGGAUCUUCGGACCUCACGCUAUCAGAUGAGCCUAGGUCGGAUUAGCUAGUUGGUGGGGUAAAGGCCUACCAAGGCGACGAUCCGUAACUGGUCUGAGAGGAUGAUCAGUCACACUGGAACUGAGACACGGUACAGACUACUACGGGAGGCAGCAGUGGGGAAUAUUGGACAAUGGGCGGAAGCCUGAUCCAGCCAUGCCGCGUGUGUGAAGAAGGUCUUCGGAUUGUAAAGCACUUUAAGUUGUGAGGAAGGGCAGUAAGUUAAUAGCUUGCUGUUUUGACGUUACCAACAGAAUAAGCACCGGCUAACUUCGUG
Molecule: ribosomal RNA, 484 nt
Filed under: uncultured bacterium
Lineage: Bacteria
Description: partial 16S ribosomal RNA
Rfam family: Bacterial small subunit ribosomal RNA
Source: RNAcentral